GCAACUCGACUACAUGAAGCUGGAAUCGCUAGUAAUCGCAGAUCAGAAUGCUGCGGUGAAUACGUUCCCGGGUCUUGUACACACCGCCCGUCACACCAUGGGAGUCGGAAAUGCCCGAAGCCGGUGACCCAACCAAAAGGAGGGAGCCGUCGAAGGCAGGUCUGAUAACUGGGGUGAAGUCGUAACAAGGUAUC
This 194-nucleotide ribosomal RNA is filed under the name uncultured bacterium. Its description in RNAcentral is "partial 16S ribosomal RNA". It matches the Rfam family "Bacterial small subunit ribosomal RNA", at positions 1307 to 1500 of the family's 1533-position model. The record is from RNAcentral.